GAAGAAGAAAGGGGCUUAGGAUUUAAAGACCUUCACAGUUUUAACCUUGCUUUACUAGCAAAACAGUGUUGGCGGCUAAUCCAGAACCUGGACCCUCUCUGUGCACGAGUACUAAGCGCAAAGUAUUAUCCAAAGGGGAAUAUUCUGAAGGCAGGCCCAAAGAAAAGCUCGUCGUUCACCUGGCAGAGUAUUGUUGCGGGGAUUCAAACCUUC
RNAcentral lists this ribosomal RNA (213 nucleotides) under Triticum aestivum (bread wheat). RNAcentral describes it as "partial small subunit ribosomal RNA". The record is from RNAcentral. Lineage: Eukaryota; Viridiplantae; Streptophyta; Magnoliopsida; Poales; Poaceae.